Molecule: ribosomal RNA, 1710 nt
Filed under: Staphylococcus aureus
Lineage: Bacteria; Bacillati; Bacillota; Bacilli; Caryophanales; Staphylococcaceae
Description: partial 23S ribosomal RNA
Rfam family: Bacterial large subunit ribosomal RNA
Source: RNAcentral
CUGAAUAGGGCGUUUAGUAUUUGGUCGUAGACCCGAAACCAGGUGAUCUACCCUUGGUCAGGUUGAAGUUCAGGUAACACUGAAUGGAGGACCGAACCGACUUACGUUGAAAAGUGAGCGGAUGAACUGAGGGUAGCGGAGAAAUUCCAAUCGAACCUGGAGAUAGCUGGUUCUCUCCGAAAUAGCUUUAGGGCUAGCCUCAAGUGAUGAUUAUUGGAGGUAGAGCACUGUUUGGACGAGGGGCCCCUCUCGGGUUACCGAAUUCAGACAAACUCCGAAUGCCAAUUAAUUUAACUUGGGAGUCAGAACAUGGGUGAUAAGGUCCGUGUUCGAAAGGGAAACAGCCCAGACCACCAGCUAAGGUCCCAAAAUAUAUGUUAAGUGGAAAAGGAUGUGGCGUUGCCCAGACAACUAGGAUGUUGGCUUAGAAGCAGCCAUCAUUUAAAGAGUGCGUAAUAGCUCACUAGUCGAGUGACACUGCGCCGAAAAUGUACCGGGGCUAAACAUAUUACCGAAGCUGUGGAUUGUCCUUUGGACAAUGGUAGGAGAGCGUUCUAAGGGCGUUGAAGCAUGAUCGUAAGGACAUGUGGAGCGCUUAGAAGUGAGAAUGCCGGUGUGAGUAGCGAAAGACGGGUGAGAAUCCCGUCCACCGAUUGACUAAGGUUUCCAGAGGAAGGCUCGUCCGCUCUGGGUUAGUCGGGUCCUAAGCUGAGGCCGACAGGCGUAGGCGAUGGAUAACAGGUUGAUAUUCCUGUACCACCUAUAAUCGUUUUAAUCGAUGGGGGGACGCAGUAGGAUAGGCGAAGCGUGCGAUUGGAUUGCACGUCUAAGCAGUAAGGCUGAGUAUUAGGCAAAUCCGGUACUCGUUAAGGCUGAGCUGUGAUGGGGAGAAGACAUUGUGUCUUCGAGUCGUUGAUUUCACACUGCCGAGAAAAGCCUCUAGAUAGAAAAUAGGUGCCCGUACCGCAAACCGACACAGGUAGUCAAGAUGAGAAUUCUAAGGUGAGCGAGCGAACUCUCGUUAAGGAACUCGGCAAAAUGACCCCGUAACUUCGGGAGAAGGGGUGCUCUUUAGGGUUAACGCCCAGAAGAGCCGCAGUGAAUAGGCCCAAGCGACUGUUUAUCAAAAACACAGGUCUCUGCUAAACCGUAAGGUGAUGUAUAGGGGCUGACGCCUGCCCGGUGCUGGAAGGUUAAGAGGAGUGGUUAGCUUCUGCGAAGCUACGAAUCGAAGCCCCAGUAAACGGCGGCCGUAACUAUAACGGUCCUAAGGUAGCGAAAUUCCUUGUCGGGUAAGUUCCGACCCGCACGAAAGGCGUAACGAUUUGGGCACUGUCUCAACGAGAGACUCGGUGAAAUCAUAGUACCUGUGAAGAUGCAGGUUACCCGCGACAGGACGGAAAGACCCCGUGGAGCUUUACUGUAGCCUGAUAUUGAAAUUCGGCACAGCUUGUACAGGAUAGGUAGGAGCCUUUGAAACGUGAGCGCUAGCUUACGUGGAGGCGCUGGUGGGAUACUACCCUAGCUGUGUUGGCUUUCUAACCCGCACCACUUAUCGUGGUGGGAGACAGUGUCAGGCGGGCAGUUUGACUGGGGCGGUCGCCUCCUAAAAGGUAACGGAGGCGCUCAAAGGUUCCCUCAGAAUGGUUGGAAAUCAUUCAUAGAGUGUAAAGGCAUAAGGGAGCUUGACUGCGAGACCUACAAGUCGAG